RNAcentral lists this ribosomal RNA (406 nucleotides) under uncultured bacterium. Its description in RNAcentral is "partial 16S ribosomal RNA". It matches the Rfam family "Bacterial small subunit ribosomal RNA", at positions 30 to 526 of the family's 1533-position model. The record is from RNAcentral.
AUUGAACGCUGGCGGCAGGCCUAAUACAUGCAAGUCGAGCGAGCGGCGGACGGGUGAGUAAUGCCUGGGAAACUGCCCGAUGGAGGGGGAUAACUACUGGAAACGGUAGCUAAUACCGCAUACUAUUAGAUGUUCCCAGAUGGGAUUAGCUAGUUGGUGGGGUAACGGCUAACCUAGGCGACGAUCCCUAGCUGGCCUGAGAGGAUGACCAGCCACACUGGAACUGAGCCACGGUCAAGACUCCUACGGAAGGCAGCAGUGGGAAAUAUUGCACAAUGGGCGCAAGCCUGAUGCCGCAAUGCCGCGUGUGUGAAGAAGGCCUUCGGGUUGUAAAGCACUUUCAGCGGGGAGGCGUUACCCAAAGAAGAAGCACCGGCUAACUCCGUGCCAGCAGCCGCGGUAAUUC